RNAcentral lists this unclassified non-coding RNA (368 nucleotides) under uncultured bacterium. Its description in RNAcentral is "contains 16S-23S intergenic spacer region". The record is from RNAcentral.
UCUCAUCUUCUCCUACCUUCAAGCUCUUAUCCAUGGCUUUCUAUGGUGGUGAGCUUCUUCAUGACUCAUCUUCUCCUUGAAGUGGCGUCUCUGAUCAUCUCUCUCUUCCGUCUCCAUUCCACUGCCAUUCAUUUUCAAGAAGCAAAGGAAUCCAUUGAUGAAGAAGAUCCAAGGCCUACAAGCUCCACAUGGAGCUACAUCAUAAAAAAUUCUCUUACCAAAUUUACUAUUGGCAAAAAUAAUUUAGAUAUUAUAUUAGGAAAGCAAAGAUGUGUGUUUGAUAAGGCUGAAUUAGGAUAUAAACCUGAUAAACAACAAAAAUUUUAUAAAAAAUUCUUUGCAUCCACUCUGUCAUACCCUAAUUUCGU